UGUGAGUUAUGAGUGCAACAUCCCACCGAGGGGACAAAUUCAAAGCUACUAUUAUGAGAAAGGGUAAUAUAAGAUGUAGUCAUAGGUAAAGAUGAGCAUUUUGAAAAGGGUAAUUACAAAAGCACACGAAGAUAGAUGAGCAGCUCAUGAAAAUUCGAGUCUACUUUUUUACAGUGCACGUGAAAAACAGAUUGUGAGCAGACAUCAGCAAGAAGAGGACGAAGGAGCAAUGGAAGCUAUUGUUGCAAACCACAUGAAGGGCGCCAUUUUGAGUAACUGCAGAGUGUUGCCAGGAGCAACACCCACAAAAUGAAACAGCAGUAUUUCCUUCCGAUGAUGAGGAUCAACCACUCUCGCCAUGAUAGUGUCUCAUUUUCUUGUCUGUUAUUCACAAGACAAAAAGACUCCAACUAUUUGCAACCUGAUAUUUAUCAAACGGUCUUUCUGCAUCAGGCACUUGCUAUUAGGAUGAUGGCCAACUGUAAGUACCUCCUUUAAAAGGAACAUAGUCUGAUCCAGCUGGUUGUUUAGGGAAAGCUGACAGAUUGAUUACAACUACAAGAAGAUUUGAAAACCACUAAGUGUCUGUGUUCCAACAACUUGACUUCUAAUGCUUCUUAUUCAAAAAAAUGGUAAAACCACCAACACAAAUGCCCAGACCUGAAACCUAGAGCUCAUGUUGACAUUCCCUUCAUGAUCCUUUCAAGACAUCAACAUUUCCCACAUUUUACCACUUCUCUAUCAACCUUGUAGAAGGCUCCAUCAAUUCUAGCCAGGAAAACCAAAUGGAUUUUCUCAAGAAGCUGAACACACAGCCAUUGGAAGAUCUUUUAAAAGUAAAUUUCUUGUGCUAUUAUCUAACUGAAAUACUA
Gorilla gorilla gorilla (western lowland gorilla) is the source of this 872-nucleotide long non-coding RNA. RefSeq lists it as uncharacterized. NCBI's taxonomy places the organism in Eukaryota, Metazoa, Chordata, Mammalia, Primates, Hominidae. The transcript has 4 exons. The record is from RefSeq and is a predicted model, not a curated record.